AGUCGAACGCGAAAGGGAGCAAUCCCAAGUAGAGUGGCGAAAGGGCGAGGAAUAAAUUCCUACGUACCCCAAGGUCGGGGAUACCUCGGAGAAAUCCGAAUCAAUACCCGAUGUGGUCCGAAAGGAUCAAAGGCUUGCUGCCUUGGGAGCGGGGAAUUUCCUAUCAGGUAGUUGGUAGGGUAAUGGCCUACCAAGCCAGAGACGGGUAGCGGGUGUGAGAGCACGGCCCGCCGCAUCGAGACUGAGACACUGCUCGGACUCCUACGGGAGGCUGCAGUAACGAAUCUUCCGCAAUGCGCGAAAGCGUGACGGGGCAAUGCCGCGUGCAGGAUGAAGCCCUUCGGGGUGUAAACUGCUGUCAGGGUGCAGGAACUCAAUGACCAUACCCAAAGGAAGCACCGGCUAACUCUGUGCCAGCAGCCGCGGUAAUACAGAGGGUGCAAGCGUUAAUCGGAAUCACUGGGCUUAAAGCGUUCGUAGGCGGGCUUGCAGGCACUUUGUGAAAGCCCCCGGCUCAACCGGGGAACUGCUUGGUGAACCUCAAGUCUUGAGUCAAGUAGGGGCGGUCGGAACGAUAGGUGGAGCGGUGAAAUGCGUA
Molecule: ribosomal RNA, 598 nt
Filed under: uncultured bacterium
Lineage: Bacteria
Description: bacterial SSU rRNA
Rfam family: Bacterial small subunit ribosomal RNA
Source: RNAcentral